AGUGAACGCUGGCGGUAGGCCUAACACAUGCAAGUCGAACGGCAGCACAGUAAGAGCUUGCUCUUACGGGUGGCGAGUGGCGGACGGGUGAGGAAUACAUCGGAAUCUACUUUUUCGUGGGGGAUAACGUAGGGAAACUUACGCUAAUACCGCAUACGACCUACGGGUGAAAGCAGGGGAUCUUCGGACCUUGCGCGAUUGAAUGAGCCGAUGUCGGAUUAGCUAGUUGGCGGGGUAAAGGCCCACCAAGGCGACGAUCCGUAGCUGGUCUGAGAGGAUGAUCAGCCAGACUGGAACUGAGACACGGUCCAGACGCCUACGGGAGGCAGCAGUGGGGAAUAUUGGACAAUGGGCGCAAGCCUGAUCCAGCCAUACCGCGUGGGUGAAGAAGGCCUUCGGGUUGUAAAGCCCUUUUGUUGGGAAAGAAAAGCAGCAGGUUAAUACCCCGCUGUUCUGACGGUACCCAAAGAAUAAGCACCGGCUAACUUCGUG
Molecule: ribosomal RNA, 492 nt
Filed under: uncultured bacterium
Lineage: Bacteria
Description: partial 16S ribosomal RNA
Rfam family: Bacterial small subunit ribosomal RNA
Source: RNAcentral